Molecule: unclassified non-coding RNA, 415 nt
Filed under: soil metagenome
Description: partial contains 5.8S ribosomal RNA, internal transcribed spacer 2, and large subunit ribosomal RNA
Rfam family: 5.8S ribosomal RNA (bases 1-120)
Source: RNAcentral
GAUGAAGAACGCAGCGAAAUGCGAUAAGUAGUGUGAAUUGCAGAAUUCAGUGAAUCAUCGAAUCUUUGAACGCACCUUGCACUCCUUGGUAUUCCGAGGAGUACGCCUGUUCGAGUGUUAUGAAGCUCUCAAAACGCAAUUGGCUUAAAACCUGAUUGUUGUUUUGGAUUUGAACUUUGCCGUGUUAUAACGGCUGGUUUUAAAAGUAUUAGCUGGUACUAGAACGAAUUGGUUCUACUCAACGUGAUAAUUAUCUGAUCGUUGAGGACAUUCCUUUCACGAGGAAUGGCCAUAGUAAAUUCAAUGGACUGCUUCUAAUCUGGCUUUAAUUCUUUAUUGGAUUAACCACUUUUCAAAUCUGACCUCGAAUCAGGUGGGACUACCCGCUGAACUUAAGCAUAUCAAUAAGCGGAGG